GGGGCCCCGCCCUCUGCCUUCGCUCGCGCCGCUCUCCUUCAGUCUCCCCAGGGCCUGUUUCAUGGAUAGGGUCCCCUUGCCCGCGUGAAAGUCUCAUUCCUCCUCAGCUCAGAAACACUCCAAGGUCUCGGCGCCCUAUACUGGCCUUCCCUCAUCCGAAUACCCCUCGUGCUCCUGAUGUACUUUUCCAUUCCCACUCCCUACUCUGGCAGUCUAGCUUCUAAGCUGAGGAGUUUGGCCUUCGCUCCAGGUGCGGGGACUCGUGGAAGGAUUUGAUUCGCGCUUGAGAAAGAUCGCUCCGCUCCUGUAAGGAAGAGAGCGUGUAGGGGCUGCAACCAGAGACACAGUCAGAAGCUCCGAGGCUACCGCGAUGGUCCAGGUGCCACAGGACACAGCCUAACAGAGGCCCAGGUUGGAGCCAUGGACCAUGGAGUCAUGAGAAUGGAAGGGAAGCUGACGCCAUGUGGGAUGGGGUAGAACUGUCCGCAAAUUCGUCCCGCCUCUGGAGUCUUCAGACCAGUCAAGGCCGAAAUUCAACCAAGCCUCUCCUCUCUCUAGCUGUUAUUUGUUUGCAGCACGCGGUCUGGUGGCACCCUGCAGGAUUUACCAGCUUUUUGCCAACAUUCUGGCCUAUGCAAUCAAUACGUCCCUUCAGCGUUGCACUUGGAUGGAUUGGACCUAUAGUUGUUAUAUAUGGAUAUUGUCUAAUUUAUUUAUUACAGUAUUAACUGACUCCUAUGUUCUGGCCUUCAGAAUUUCUCCUUUGGAUCAAUUACUAGCCUGUCUUACAUUUUCUGCUUCAUUCUUUUAAAAUGUUUAGAGAUGAUUUGCUAAGUUUUCUUCAUUGCUGUCAAUGAUGCAAUUUAAACUGUCAAAAAAAUUUUUUCUCAAGCAGGGUAGUAAUGGUGAACCAUUCCCUUGCUAUUCAGACAGCAUGGUUUAGAUGAGGCGCACCUAUCCCCAGCUUUAGGAAUGGAAACAGGACCCAAGUCUGGCUAAUCAGAGACUGGUUUAGGGUCGGCCCCAUGGUCUGAGCCAGACCAAUGAGAAUUGGUAGAGGGACUUCCUUUUGCAACUUCUAUUUUAGAAUCGGGGGUAUAUAUGCAGGCUUGUUACAGAGGUAUAUUGCAUGGUGCUGAGGUUUGGAGUAUGAACGAAUCCGUCCUUCAGGUAAUGAGCAUAGUACCCAAUAGGUAGUUUCAACCCUUGCCCCCUUCCUCCUUCCCCAGUCUUGUAUUCCCCAGUGUCUGUUGUUCCCAGACAUUGAUCUUUUUCCUCUAUGUUGCUAAGCUGGUAGAAAGGCUGGAGUUGCUGGCAACCAUCUUUGCAACCAUGCAGGGAGAACUACUUUGGAAAUGAAGCAAGAUAAAGAAGAAAACAGAUAAAAGGAGACAAAUGUUUGACUUUGUACAGCUGGAAACCAGCAAUGCUGGAAAUGAGCACUGAAGGCAGUUUAAUGGGUUUGUCACUUGUAACCAAGUGACCCAUGGCAAGCUCACAGAUUUGUAUUGGCAGAAUUCCUCCUUUUCUUUAUUUAAAAUGGUACUUUUGGCCAGGCAAGGUGGUUCACACCUGUAAUCCAAAGACUUUGGGAGGCCGAGGCGCACUGAUCACCCAAGGUCAGAAGUUCGAGAACAGCCUGGCCAACAUUGGCGAAACCCCAUCUCUACUAAAAAUACAAACCAUUAGCUGGCUGCGGUGGCCUUUCUACCAGCUUUUUGUCUCAAAAAAAAAAAAAAAAAAGGUACUUUUGCUUAUCUCUAACCUUCCUCUUCCCCAUAAUUUAACAGUUGCCCAUACUAUCUGUUACUCUGAGCUACUCUCUGCCCCAUUCUCCUCCUCUUAUCUUCAGUUCCUCCUAGGCUGUCAGAGCCAUCUGAAAUGAAAACAUUUAGGCCGGGCAUAGUGGUUCAUGCCUGUAAUCCCAGCACUUUGGGAGGCUGAGGCAGGCGGAUCAGCUGAGGUCAGGAGUUCAAGACCACCCUGGUCAACAUGGUGAAACCCCAUCUCUACUAAAAAUACAAAAAUUAUCCAGACAUGGUGGCACAUGCCUCUACUCCCAGCUACUUGGGAGGCUGAGGCAGGAGAAUCGCUUGAACCUAGGAGGCAGGGGUUGCAGUGAGCCGAGAUUGAGCCACUGCACUCUAGCCUGGGCGACAGAGUGAGACUUUGUCUAAAAAACAUAAAUAAAAUAAAAUGAAAUGAAAACAUUUGCUACUUGAAAUCCUUCAGAUUCCCCAUCGCCUACCUACAGGCAAAACUCUCAAGUUCUUUUGUAUGAUUUAACCACUAUCUACCUGUCCAACUGAAAUCUACCCUUCAGUAAUAUUAUACUUGCACCUCCCUUCAUAAGCUAUGCUACAAGUUUGGUUAUGCAGUUGCCCACCUUUUAAGGUUCAAGCCUUGUCUUCUCCAAAGAGCCACCUCUGACUGCCUCACAGUAAGCUUAGGGCCCGCAACUUACCUGUAACUUUUGUUGCACUUAUGGCCUUUUACAACUAUCAAUUUAUGUAUGUGUCUGUUCUCACUGGUUUAUAAGCUCCCUGAGGACAGAGCCUUGCUUGAGUCAUCUGUCAGCAGCCCAAUAUGGGACAAAAAGUGCAUGCAUUGUAAUUACUGAACAGAACUGAUAGAGGCUCAGCAAUUUGCGCUCCAUAGGUCUAAGUUUGAACUUUUCUAGAAAAGGAUUUGCAGGACGAUCUGACGAAUCUUGGGCUUCCAAAUUAGUUCCAACAGUUCUAGUAUUUUUUUUUUUUUUUGACAGAAGCAAAUAAGUAAGUUUUACUUUGUGAUUAAAACAAAAGUGAAAUGCAUUUAGUCCCAGGAAAUGUCAAUCCUUUCUGCAUCUUACUUUUUUUUGCUGUGACCUCGAGAUUCUCUUGUUCUCUUCAGUUGUAUUGGUCCAUGAUCACUCAUAGCUUUCAUACACAUAUAUACAUCUGAAACUCAGAAAAUUCAUUAGGUAGGAACUCUUUGGAUGCAUCUCCUUUUUUAACCUCAUUGGGAUGAUUUUUCGUUGCACCAUCAUUUUAUAGAGCUUCCUAGCACUGCUGAGCAUGCAGAAUUUUUGCAAAUGCAAUCCAGAGAAACAGACUUGCUAUAUACUAGCUAUUUGAACUUGUCUGAGCUUAUGUGGCAUGGUCUAAAGAAUACUGAAAUAUUUCUGGCAUACCUCUUAAUUGCAGUCACUUUCUCCAGGUUGCUUUAUGGAUUAAAUGAGAUAACCUACUAAAGGACUCCAGUAAAAAGCUAAAAAGGUAGCUAGCUUUUGAGGUGUUGUGGCAGACUGGCAUCUAGUGGCCAGCGAUAAAGGUGCAGACUAGUGUCCACACCUAAGUGGGGACAGUGCAGGCUGUAAUGUCCAUACCUAGUGGGGACAUCAAUGGGGUAUUUGUCAGAGAAGCUCCAUGGCAUAGUUUGGACAUUGUUUCUGGCUGUGCAGGUUCAAACCCAGAGUCUGGCUCUCCCAAAGAUUAUCUGAGUUAUUCUAUUAUUUUACAAAGUUUGAAAUAGCCAUUAGAUACCCUUACAAACUUAUCAUUUUUGUGAUUGAUUUUAAGUCUACUGAAAAUGUCAAAAGAAAUCCAAAACUGAUUGCUAGUAACUAGGCCAGGUGUGGUGGCUCACACCUGUAAUCCCAGCACUUUGGGGCCGGGGCAGGCAGAUUGCUUGAGCUCAGGAGUUCGAGACCAGCCUGGGCAACAUGGCAAAACUCCAUAUUUACAAAAAAUACAAAAAAUUAGCCGGACAUGAUGGUGUGUGCCUGUUGUCCCCGCUACUAGAAGGCUCAGAAAGAAGGAUCACUUGAGCCUGGGAGGCGGAGGUUGCAGUGAGCCAAGACUGUGCCACUGCACUCCAACCUGGGCAACAGAGACCCCAGCUCAAAAAAAUAAAAUUAGUGUUAACUUGUACUGUUUAGCCACAUUCAUUAAGUUUUUAAUUUUAACUCUACUAUCGCACAACCAGGAAUGUACAAGAGAUCUGGAGCCUGAUUUGCAUGGCAGGAAGGAGACCACGUAUUUUUGUUUGGGAUGGGUUUUAGCCACUAUCAGAGACAUAGUUUGUUUCUUAGGGGUUCGGUCCCAGUAGUAUGAUACUUAGUUCAUUUAGGAACUUCCUUUUUUAACGGCUAAGAAAACAUUUUAGCUACUAAAUGAUAUGCAAAGAUAACUUUCCAAAUUUAAGCUGUACUCAAAAAUCCACAGAAUCUGCAAAACUCUCAAGUUUCUAUAUUUAAAUAGAAAUGUGUGUUGAUAUACAUACUUUAAUCAGUCAUUUCUUGCUUUCAAUAUAUUUUAUUCUGACGAAGUUACAAAAGUAGAUACAAAAUACUUUUUUUAGAAGUACAGUUAACUGACUUAGAAAAAUAGAUAAAGCCCCUAAGGAUUUUAAAACACAACAUAAAUUUUUAUGUAAAGAACAUUUAAAAAUAUUUUAGAUGGUAACCAAAACUAACUUACACAAACUAUUUUUGAUGUAGAAUAGAAUGCUGUUCUAUAAUAAGAAGUCUGUAGCACACUGGUAAUCCAUUUGGAUCUACAGAAUACUUGUUUGGAACAGAAUCUGAUAAUGAGAGAAAACUCAAAUGAAUGUCAGUGCAGUUGCUUCAAAAAAAUUACUGCUACCACAUGUACUAUCAUCCCCCAAGGCCUUUUACAGUCUGAAAUAUCAAAAUUGAAAGCAAAAAUAGGAUGACCAAAGGACUACUAUUUUACCUCUUUUCAGAACUCUACAAUAGUAGAAACUAAAUUCCCUUAUGGAUCUCAGGGGGAAAUAAUGUGCCUGUUGAAGGGGCUCAGUGUUUGGUGUCCAGGCUGGCAUUUUUCAGGUGAGGGUUUCAUACUGACAGGAGGCAGGCUCCUAAAACAAGGCGGUAGCACCAGCACCAUGACUAGGGCUGCUUUAAAACAAAUUUCUAGGACUUACGCUCUUUGGGCCUGAUUUGUUAAUGCUUAUGAGGUAAUGAUAUUAUGUUUGAGAAGCUCUACUUCUAGUAUACCUCAAUGCUCAGAGAGAAAGCCAACAAUACAAUCAGGAAACCACAAUAUUGACAAAACUUAGUACUACCACCAAGAUUGUUCCUCUUGCCUUGGCACUACUAAAAAACUUUACCUUUGUUACUAAAGUCAUGGUGAAUACAGAUUUUGCAUUUCUCAUGUAAGCAGCUAUAUAAGCUAGGGUUCUACAAGCCUUAGAUGAAAGGAAAAACUUUGCUGGAAGCCCUGUAAAAAUCACUUUAUUCACAAUCUGAAGAAUGAAAGACAAAUUUGGCUGUCAAUACAAAAACUGUAGUACAAGGAAGUUCAACUGUUUAAAAAUCUGCACAUCACUGUACAAGUGUUUUUUGAAGGCCUGAAAAUUAAAGCACCAUAGGAUUAACUGCAUAAUUUAGCAAGCACUCUCUACCCCAUGACUGUAAUCAUGUAUGAAGAGCAGAGAUCAGACACUGAGAGGAGAUGGCUUCUGAUUAGCAAGGGGGAAGGGAGUGAGUGUUAUGGAACAGGCAAACCUUGGGCAUGGGGAGAUAAAAGUGAGAAGAGUCAAAAAGAUUGAUUUCUAUAGGCCGGGCACGGUGGCUCAUGCCUGUAAUCCCAACACUUUGGGAGGCUGAGGCGGGCGGAUUGCGAGGUAAGGAGAUGGAGACCAUCCUGGCUAACACGGUGAAACCCCAUCUCUACUAAAAAUACAAAAAAUUAGCCAGGCAUGACUAAAAAUAGAAAAAAUUAGCUGGGCGUGGUGGCGGGCACCUGUAGUUCCAGCUACUCAGGAGAGGCUGGGGCAGGAGAAUGGCAUGAACCUGGGAGGCAGAGCUUGCAGUGAGCCGAGAUCCCACCACUGUACUCCAGCCUGGGUGACAGAGUGAGACUCUGUCUCAAAAAAAAAAAAAAAAAAGAUUGAUUUCGUCAAACUGUUAUCAAAGGUUGGCCCUCUAGCCAACUCAGGAAGGCGCCAUCCUCUUCCCAUUAUCUCCCCUUCCUCCAAUUCUCCUCCUCCCCUUGGCUCCCUAGCCUUGGAGGUAAACACUAAUAUUUCAGUGCACUGUUGGUUAAGCCAGAUUGGCUUGGGAACCUGGUAAUGUUUUUAUUUUUAUUUUAAAAAAGGACAGUCUUGAGUCUCAAAAUACCAACACAUCUCUGAUUUAUGUCCCAUUUAUAAGCUGCCUUUACUACUGUCCUGACAUGUGAUCGUCUUUCAUUUGCUUUGGAGCUUAGUGGUGAAGAGAGGGAACAUUUCCAUAACUGAAAAUAAAUGGAGAAAAGUGGUAACUCUUUUGUUUGAGAAUAUUUGAAAUACUAGAAAUAAUGAGGAAAGUACAAGCCUAGCUGAGAAACUAGUUUCAUCACUUGUGGACUUAAAAAAGUAAAGCUAACAGGGUUUAAAGUUGAGAGGCAGUUCACAUCCUAAGUGAUACCUAGAAACCUGCUUUCUUGUUCGCAAAUGAUCAACAUGAACAUACAGAAUGGCUGACAUUUGGACCUUUGGAUAAGCUUAAAACAUGGAUUGUGGAAUGUCUAAUAGAGGGCUUUUCUCUCUUUUUUUUAAUAAUGACUGUCCCACACUUUAAUUCCUCAAUGAUAUGUGGAUGCUAACUAAAUCAGAUGAAAUGUUUUCUUUAAAAUUCUGUAUAUAUUUAAGAAUUUCUAGGAAAUGAUUAUUUAAAAUGGAGUUUCUAAGUAAUUAUUUUCUUUAUAGUUUAGUGGAGUAAGAAAAAUAAAUCU
Molecule: long non-coding RNA, 6719 nt
Filed under: Homo sapiens (human)
Lineage: Eukaryota; Metazoa; Chordata; Mammalia; Primates; Hominidae
Description: non-protein coding BOLA3-AS1:10
Source: RNAcentral